RNAcentral lists this ribosomal RNA (452 nucleotides) under uncultured bacterium. RNAcentral describes it as "bacterial SSU rRNA". It matches the Rfam family "Bacterial small subunit ribosomal RNA", at positions 29 to 524 of the family's 1533-position model. The record is from RNAcentral.
AACGAACGCUGGCGGCAGGCUUAACACAUGCAAGUCGAACGGUUGUAGCAAUACAGCAGUGGCGCACGGGUGAGUAACGCGUGGGAACGUGCCCUUCAGUACGGAACAACACCGGGAAACUGGUGCUAAUACCGUAUAUUCCCUUAGGGGGAAAGAUUUAUCGCUGAAGGAUCGGCCCGCGUUAGAUUAGCUAGUUGGUGGGGUAAUGGCCUACCAAGGCUCCGAUCUAUAGCUGGUCUGAGAGGAUGACCAGCCACACUGGAACUGAGACACGGUCCAGACUCCUACGGGAGGCAGCAGUGGGGAAUAUUGGACAAUGGGGGAAACCCUGAUCCAGCCAUGCCGCGUGAGUGAUGAAGGCCUUAGGGUUGUAAAGCUCUUUUGUCAGGGAAGAUGAUGACGGUACCUGAAGAAUAAGCACCGGCUAACUUCGUGCCAGCAGCCGCGGUAAU